This 1062-nucleotide long non-coding RNA is filed under the name Callithrix jacchus (white-tufted-ear marmoset). RNAcentral's name for it is "lncRNA (ENSCJAG00000082078.1)". The record is from RNAcentral. Lineage: Eukaryota; Metazoa; Chordata; Mammalia; Primates; Cebidae.
CAUUUUGGAGCUUUAAGAUUUGACUGCACUGCUGGAUUUUGAACUUGCAUUGGGCCGGUAGCCCCUUUGUUUCAGCUAGUUUCUGACAUUUGGAAUGGCUGUAUUUACCCAAUGCCUUUACCCCCAUUGUACCUUGGAAGUACCUGAUUUGCUUUUGAUUUUACAGGCUCAUAGGUGGAAGGGACUUGCCUUGUCUCAAAUAAGACUUUAGACUGUGGACUUUUAGUUAAUGCUGAAAUGAGUUAAGACUUUGGGGGACUGUUGGGAAAGAAUAAUUUGUUUUGAAAUGUGAGGACAUGAGAUUUGGAGGGGCCAGGGGCAGAAAGAUAUGGCUUGCCUCUGUGUUUCCACCCAAAUCUCAUCUUGAAUUGUACUCCCGUAUUUCCUAUGUGUUAUGGGAGGGACGUGGUGGGAGAUAAUUUGAAUCAUGGGGGCAGUUUUCCCCACACUGUUCUCAUGGUAGUGAAUAAGUCUCAAGAGAUCUGAUGGUUUUUUUCAAGAUUUCUGCUUUUGCAUCUUCCUCAUUUUCUCUUGCUGACACCAUGUAAGAAGUGCCUUUUGCCUCCUGCCAUGAUUCUGAGGUCUUCUGAGCCAUAUGGAACCGGGAUGAAUCUGGAAACCAUCAUUUUCAGCAAACUGGCACAAGAACAGAAAACCAAACACUGCAUGUUCUUACUCAUAGAGAUAAUCAAGUUUCAAAUGAUCAUGCAACAAAAGUUCCAUCCAGUUCCAGGUGAAGACACCACCCCUGCUCAUCAAGAAGCUUUUCUGCCUCCGCUAGAUAGAGCAGGGUGAGAGUUCCGUGAUCCUCAGUAGGGACUACACCUCAAGAGAGCUUGAAGCAGUUACAGAAAAAAGACCAUUGGACCCUCUGCCUCCCAUAAAGAUUUAUGUGGAUCACAUCUCUCAGAGGGGAGAUGAGUCAGGGAAAUAGGGUCUAGAGACAGGGAACAUAAGGUUGAUUCAAACUUGAGCUGACAGGAAAUAUCCUCUCCACAGGGCAUAGGCCAAGUAAAUGAGCUUGUAACUUUACUUUAUCCUCUCCAUUUACAUAGGAUAUAC